Molecule: non-coding RNA, 97 nt
Organism: Sordaria macrospora k-hell
Lineage: Eukaryota; Fungi; Ascomycota; Sordariomycetes; Sordariales; Sordariaceae
Source: the annotation of a RefSeq genome assembly
AGCGGACGACCUGGGUUUCAAACCCCGGACCGCGCAAGCGCUUUUCCCUUAGUCUGUCUCCCGGUUCUCUUCAUUAAGAUUGAAACAUCACAACUCC